UUAUACUAGUAAUUGGUUAAAUAAUUUUCUAUUUAGUACAAGAAAAGAGAGAAUAAAAAUAUGGCUAAACUUCUCAAGUUUGUUUAUGCUAUGAAUAUGAUAUUCUCUAUUUCUCUCUUUCUUGUUACGGUGAACGUCCAUGCACUUCCGGAAUGUAUUGACCACGACCACUGUGAAAGAAGUAUGUGUAAGUUUCCUUUUAUUGCGAGAUGCAUUAUGAAUGAAUGCAAAUGUACUCUAUUACACUACCUAAUAUAAUCUAGGAGGAGCAUAGCUAAGGGAAAGUCAUCCGUUCAAAUCUGAUAGGAGGCUUUUUUUUUUUUUUUUGUCAUAA
This is a long non-coding RNA of Trifolium pratense (red clover), 334 nucleotides long. RefSeq lists it as uncharacterized. NCBI's taxonomy places the organism in Eukaryota, Viridiplantae, Streptophyta, Magnoliopsida, Fabales, Fabaceae. The transcript is spliced from 2 exons. The record is from RefSeq and is a predicted model, not a curated record.